RNAcentral lists this ribosomal RNA (253 nucleotides) under uncultured bacterium. RNAcentral's name for it is "partial 16S ribosomal RNA". It matches the Rfam family "Bacterial small subunit ribosomal RNA", at positions 524 to 776 of the family's 1533-position model. The record is from RNAcentral.
UACAGAGGGUGCAAGCGUUGUUCGGAAUUACUGGGCGUAAAGCGCGUGUAGGCUGUCUCGCAAGUCGGGUGUGAAAGCCCUGGGCUCAACCUAGGAAGUGCACUCGAAACUGCGAGACUUGAGUCCUGGAGAGGAAGGCGGAAUUCUCGGUGUAGAGGUGAAAUUCGUAGAUAUCGAGAGGAACACCGAUGGCGAAGGCAGCCUUCUGGACAGUGACUGACGCUGAGACGCGAAAGCGUGGGGAGCAAACAGG